This 69-nucleotide transfer RNA is filed under the name Urocitellus parryii (Arctic ground squirrel). Its description in RNAcentral is "Spermophilus parryii (Arctic ground squirrel) tRNA". It matches the Rfam family "tRNA". Rfam says of the family: Transfer RNA (tRNA) molecules are approximately 80 nucleotides in length. The record is from Rfam by way of RNAcentral. Lineage: Eukaryota; Metazoa; Chordata; Mammalia; Rodentia; Sciuridae. RNAcentral also lists the same sequence under 2 other names.
GGGGUUGUAGCUCAGUGGUAGAGUGCUUGCCUCGCAUGCAUGAGGCACUGGGUUUGAUCCUCAGCACCA